This is a long non-coding RNA of Myotis myotis, 2306 nucleotides long. RefSeq lists it as uncharacterized. The transcript is spliced from 2 exons. The record is from RefSeq and is a predicted model, not a curated record. NCBI's taxonomy places the organism in Eukaryota, Metazoa, Chordata, Mammalia, Chiroptera, Vespertilionidae.
CCGCGCCCCUUCCUCGCCCGCCCCGCCCCGCCCCGCUCGGCGCGCCCGCCCCAGACUGAGUGCGCGCGCCCGCAGCGCCGAGAGCGGGGGCGGGAGAGGUGGGGGUCCUGGUUCCCCGGUGAGGUCUACGUGCCAGGCCGUGGGCACUUCCCGCGACGGUUCUGGUUAGUCCCACCGGGUCCCUGCGCUUCCCCAGACCCAGGCAGUGCCCGCUCUGCUCAGAGGGUGAAUGUUGGAGGGUCGGAGACCAGGCAGGAAUGCCACCCAGGGAAUGUCAGCCUCGGUUAAUCUUGGCAUACAGAGACCCGGCCUUUUGGGCAAAGGGAAGAAAAGAGAUGACUGUCAGCAGAAUGUGGGAAAUUGAGCAAAAGUGGGUGGGGUGUGCACCUGAAUGAGUCAAAUUCUUGGCGAGACAUCAACUGUGAUUCUGAGUCUGAGCUCAAAGGUGUUAUCCCUGCCCUGCCUUAACUUGGGGGAGAAUAGGGAGGAAAGUCAGAGCUGCCUCUCGGAGACAAGUCCUGCAGGCCUCCUCCUCACAAGACCAGCUGGUGUGUCUUACUGUGCCCUACGUCGUGGUGCAGGAGAGUUAUAAAGAUGAAUGACAGCAUCCCUACGCUGGCCGAACCUUGUCCCUUGUGAAAUGGCUGAAAGGCAUCCCCUGGUCUUGGGCACCUCACAGUUCACACCUCACAGCCCUUAUUGCCUGUGGUAACUAAAGGCUCAGACCCUGCCCUGGGGUCUGAAACUAAAUUAGAGACAAUCCAUGGUUAGCUUCCUGGAUCCUGCUUGGCCCUUGAUUAUCCUCAGUCUGGGAAACUGGAGGCAGGGACUCCAGGCCUGCCAUCAGGGGAAGAGCCCACUGACUCACCCGUCAUUACAGGGCUCCAGCCUCAGGUUCAGCCACCGCUGAACCUUUAGCCAUGAUUUGCCCAAUACCAAAACCAUUACUUUCCAUUCAAAACCUAUUCUCCUCCCCACUUAAGCUUGAAACAUGAGAACCAUUUCCCACUCGCUCUCUCAUUUCCCUUAUCUGCUAUAAUUCAAACCAAGCACAUUUCUUAGAGCUAUCAUUUCUUCCAGUAUUCUCAAAAUUUAUACCCUGAACCUUUAAUACUGGCCUGUUGCAAUAGCUUUCUAAGGAAGGACCUCUUUUCUUCAAGAUUAAUUUUCCUCAAGCCUGCCUUUGACCAUGAUAGUUUGCUGCUCAACACCCCAACCUCAAGGUCACUCCCCCCACCGGCACCCCAUUUACUGAAGACUUUCUUCCGGGCCACCCUUUCCUGUCUUCAUUCCUGAUGUCUUCAACAUCUAGGUGAUGGUCAUCUAUUUGUCCUUCAGAGACUCCCUCCAAAAAAGGAAACCCUAGAACUUGGCAUCACCAGAAACUGCACUGUCUCCAAAAUCCUGAUUAAAGGCAUCCAACUCUGCCCAAUAUCUCUUGCACUUACAGUUCACUUUGCUCAGUAUCCCUUCAUCAUGACCUGUGAGCUGCCAAUCCCACCAUCUCACUGUCUCACCAUCCCUUGCCUCCUGUUUUCCCUUGCCUCCUGAUCAAAUUACAUCCCAUGGAUUCUCAUCCUCAUACUGACUACCUUGCCAUGCUCUCCUGCAGUGAUGCUGAAAAGCCUAAAAGUUAGUUUGUUUUUCCACUGUAUGCAAUCCCCUCUCCACUCUCCUUCAGUCAUCAUCCCUCUCAGCUGUCAAUAUGACCUCAUAAUUCUCUCAGAAAUUAAAGCCAAAAAGCAUGCCCUCCCUCAUCUUUUCACCACCAAAUCUGUACAGCCCUGCACGAGCCUCUUCCCCCUCUUCCUCUGGUUACACGGAUAGAAAUUACCCUCCUCCUAGCAAGGCCAGUCCUCCAGCGGUGUUUUAGAGCCAUUCCCAGUCCUAAUCCCUGGAACCUCUGAGUGAGACAUUACAGGACAAAGGAGACUUUGCGGGGGUGAUUGAAGAGGAAAGAUUUCCAGGUGGGGGAUUAUCCUGGGUAUCUGGAUAGGCCCUACGUGUAAUCUCGAGUGUCCUUAUAAUAAAGAGGCCGAGGAAACUUGACUGUGGACAAGCAGACGGUGUGACCAGAGCAGAGAGAGGUUUGAAGAUGCUUCACUGCUGACGGAAGACGGAGGAAGGGACAGUGAGCCAGGGAAUGCAACUCAGAAGCUGGAAAAAAACGAAGAUACAGAUUCUUCCCUAGGGCUUUCAGAGGGGCCUUUGGCCCUACUGAUAAUUUGACUUUAGUCCAGUGAAACUGUAUUUGAACUUCUGACCUCCAGAACUGGAAGAGAAUAAACGUGUGUUUUAAGUCCCAC